RNAcentral lists this ribosomal RNA (1243 nucleotides) under Acinetobacter sp. HM_AF8. Its description in RNAcentral is "bacterial SSU rRNA". It matches the Rfam family "Bacterial small subunit ribosomal RNA", at positions 28 to 1266 of the family's 1533-position model. The record is from RNAcentral. Lineage: Bacteria; Pseudomonadati; Pseudomonadota; Gammaproteobacteria; Moraxellales; Moraxellaceae.
AUUGAACGCUGGCGGCAGGCUUAACACAUGCAAGUCGAGCGGAGAUGAGGUGCUUGCACCUUAUCUUAGCGGCGGACGGGUGAGUAAUGCUUAGGAAUCUGCCUAUUAGUGGGGGACAACAUUCCGAAAGGAAUGCUAAUACCGCAUACGUCCUACGGGAGAAAGCAGGGGAUCUUCGGACCUUGCGCUAAUAGAUGAGCCUAAGUCGGAUUAGCUAGUUGGUGGGGUAAAGGCCUACCAAGGCGACGAUCUGUAGCGGGUCUGAGAGGAUGAUCCGCCACACUGGGACUGAGACACGGCCCAGACUCCUACGGGAGGCAGCAGUGGGGAAUAUUGGACAAUGGGGGGAACCCUGAUCCAGCCAUGCCGCGUGUGUGAAGAAGGCCUUAUGGUUGUAAAGCACUUUAAGCGAGGAGGAGGCUACUGAGACUAAUACUCUUGGAUAGUGGACGUUACUCGCAGAAUAAGCACCGGCUAACUCUGUGCCAGCAGCCGCGGUAAUACAGAGGGUGCGAGCGUUAAUCGGAUUUACUGGGCGUAAAGCGUGCGUAGGCGGCUUUUUAAGUCGGAUGUGAAAUCCCCGAGCUUAACUUGGGAAUUGCAUUCGAUACUGGGAAGCUAGAGUAUGGGAGAGGAUGGUAGAAUUCCAGGUGUAGCGGUGAAAUGCGUAGAGAUCUGGAGGAAUACCGAUGGCGAAGGCAGCCAUCUGGCCUAAUACUGACGCUGAGGUACGAAAGCAUGGGGAGCAAACAGGAUUAGAUACCCUGGUAGUCCAUGCCGUAAACGAUGUCUACUAGCCGUUGGGGCCUUUGAGGCUUUAGUGGCGCAGCUAACGCGAUAAGUAGACCGCCUGGGGAGUACGGUCGCAAGACUAAAACUCAAAUGAAUUGACGGGGGCCCGCACAAGCGGUGGAGCAUGUGGUUUAAUUCGAUGCAACGCGAAGAACCUUACCUGGCCUUGACAUACUAGAAACUUUCCAGAGAUGGAUUGGUGCCUUCGGGAAUCUAGAUACAGGUGCUGCAUGGCUGUCGUCAGCUCGUGUCGUGAGAUGUUGGGUUAAGUCCCGCAACGAGCGCAACCCUUUUCCUUACUUGCCAGCAUUUCGGAUGGGAACUUUAAGGAUACUGCCAGUGACAAACUGGAGGAAGGCGGGGACGACGUCAAGUCAUCAUGGCCCUUACGGCCAGGGCUACACACGUACUACAAUGGUCGGUACAAAGGGUUGCUACACAGCGAUGUGAU